AGUGAACGCUGGCGGUAGGCCUAACACAUGCAAGUCGAACGGCAGCACAGUAAGAGCUUGCUCUUACGGGUGGCGAGUGGCGGACGGGUGAGGAAUACAUCGGAAUCUACUUUUUCGUGGGGGAUAACGUAGGGAAGCUUAAGCUAAUACAGCAUCCGCCCUACGGGUGAAAGCAGGGGAUCUUCGGACCUUGCGCGAUUGAAUGAGCCGCUGUCGGAUUAGCUAGUUGGCGGGGUAAAGGCCCACCAAGGCGACGAUCCGUAGCUGGUCGGAGAGGAUGAUCAGCCACACGAGAACUGAGACACGGUCCAUACGCCUACGGGAGGCAGCAGUGUGGAAUAUGGGACAAUGGGCGCAAGCCUGAUCCAGCCAUACCGCGUGGGUGAAGAAGGCCUUCGGGUUGUAAAGCCCUUUUGUUGGGAAAGAAAAGCAGCAGGUUAAUACCCCGCUGUUCUGACGGUACCGAAAGAAUAAGCACCGGCUAACUUCGUG
Molecule: ribosomal RNA, 492 nt
Filed under: uncultured bacterium
Lineage: Bacteria
Description: partial 16S ribosomal RNA
Rfam family: Bacterial small subunit ribosomal RNA
Source: RNAcentral